GGUGAGUAAUGCCUAGGAAAUUGCCUUGAUGUGGGGGAUAACCAUUGGAAACGAUGGCUAAUACCGCAUAAUGCCUACGGGCCAAAGAGGGGGACCUUCGGGCCUCUCGCGUCAAGAUAUGCCUAGGUGGGAUUAGCUAGUUGGUGAGGUAAUGGCUCACCAAGGCGACGAUCCCUAGCUGGUCUGAGAGGAUGAUCAGCCACACUGGAACUGAGACACGGUCCAGACUCCUACGGGAGGCAGCAGUGGGGAAUAUUGCACAAUGGGCGAAAGCCUGAUGCAGCCAUGCCGCGUGUAUGAAGAAGGCCUUCGGGUUGUAAAGUACUUUCAGUUGUGAGGAAGGGGGUAUCGUUAAUAGCGCUAUCUCUUGACGUUAGCAACAGAAGAAGCACCGGCUAACUCCGUGCCAGCAGCCGCGGUAAUAC
This 425-nucleotide ribosomal RNA is filed under the name Vibrio sp. I10Ma1_012. Its description in RNAcentral is "bacterial SSU rRNA". It matches the Rfam family "Bacterial small subunit ribosomal RNA", at positions 105 to 526 of the family's 1533-position model. Lineage: Bacteria; Pseudomonadati; Pseudomonadota; Gammaproteobacteria; Vibrionales; Vibrionaceae. The record is from RNAcentral. RNAcentral also lists the same sequence under 16 other names.